Long non-coding RNA from Bombyx mandarina (wild silkworm), 685 nucleotides. Lineage: Eukaryota; Metazoa; Arthropoda; Insecta; Lepidoptera; Bombycidae. The record is from RefSeq and is a predicted model, not a curated record.
CAACUGAAAGUCGAUAAUCGAAUGUUGCACAUUUAAAAAAAAAGAUCCUCAUAGGUUGUCCACAAGUCCACCAUUUGAAAAAAGUUUCACUCAAACCAUGAAGGUCCUAUAUCAGUUCGAAGUACCUAUUAAAUUAAAACGGAAAUUUCAUACUUUAACCCCUAUUAUUUUGUGCGUUUACUAGGUAGGUAUUCAAGGCGUAAUUUUGCAAUUUAAUUUUAAUGAACUUGUGGCGGUAGCCAUCAAUGCGAUGCUACUGCAUUCACAUAUUUGACUAUCAAAUUUACGAAAACUGAAUAAAAAUCGAUUGGCAGUUAAAAAUAUAAAUCAUAAAAGCCAAAUUCCAACCUACCAAAUUUUAAUAUCCUUUGAAACUUCUAGCGACAGCUAUUGGUAGAAUUGGUAAAAUCAGUUUUAAAUAUUGUAGCCCACACACGUAGGUAAUACGUAAACCGACAAAAAGUUAGAUAGGGAAAGAAAAAAACUUGGAAGAAAGAGCCAACUAGUGGCACCAGUAAUCAUCAGUUAAACCAGCAAUAAAAUUAGUAGGUAGCAUAGUAAUUUGGGAUGGAUAAAAUAGAAGAAGAAACUUAUGUGAUGUUGCAGAUUAGUUCAUAACUCUAAAUCGUUAAUUUACUCACUGUUUAACUAGUUUUCUCAGAAAUAAAAAGAAUGAAUAAAAUGA